AGUUCACAAGCCUCGCCGGGAAGAUGAGCCAGUUAUUGCUGACAAGAUCUCACUUGCAGGACACGAAACGAUGCAGAAAAGAUGCAGAAAUAAGGAGUAUUUUGGAGCAGCGCACCAUCGUGUUUCAGCACCAUGGACAGAUUGGAGGCGCGCGUCGGUCUCAGACACCGGCAGGUUAGUGAAUCCGCUCCCGGCUCCCAUGGGGUCCCAUCACGGCUGCAAGCUGUCACAUAUGAGGCGGGGACAACACAGAUAUAAGGCAACACACACACACACCCACCCUGACUUAGCUGUUUCUUUCUCCUCUGCUGGUGCAUGAAAAGGAGGCAGUGGUUUGAUGCUUUCUCUCUUUUUGUCUUCUUCUCUUUAUCCUCACUGCUGCGUGUCCACAGGAGCUGUGGCACUGUUGUAGUAAAUAAAUCAUAAGGUGAUUAAACUGACUUUGUGUGAUCAUCACACACAACGCCUGUGAAACUUAUAUAUACACUGUAAACAAUUGCUGUUAAUUUACAGCAGGAUUUCAACAGUAUUAACCUGUUAUUGCUAAAAAAAAAACAGUGCUUUACUGUUAAUACAAAAGAAAACAAAAAGAAAAGGCAUGCUUGAUUGUUACUGUUAUUUUGUCCACCCCCCUGUAUGCUUAGUGUUAAUGCAACUAAUUUUAGUUUAAUCUUCAUAUAAAUAAUCACACAGGUAACUGGAUAUACAGAUUUAAACAUAAUUUAGACACAAAAAGCAAAACAUAUUUGGUGUAAAAAUGUAGAAAUUUGAUAUAUUAAUACUAUGCUUUGGUGCCAAAAUAAAAUAUUUGACUAAAUCCGAAAAAAA
Long non-coding RNA from Sebastes umbrosus (honeycomb rockfish), 828 nucleotides. RefSeq lists it as uncharacterized. The transcript has 2 exons. The record is from RefSeq and is a predicted model, not a curated record. Lineage: Eukaryota; Metazoa; Chordata; Actinopteri; Perciformes; Sebastidae.